UUAAAUGAAUUGACGGGACCCGCACAAGCGGUGGAUGAUGUGGUUUAAUUCGAUGCAACGCGAAAACCUUACCCACCUUUGACAUGGCAGGAAUCCUGAAGAGAUUUGGGAGUGCUCGAAAGAGAACCUGCACACAGGUGCUGCAUGGCUGUCGUCAGCUCGUGUCGUGAGAUGUUGGGUUAAGUCCCGCAACGAGCGCAACCCUUGCCAUUAGUUGCUACGAAAGGGCACUCUAAUGGGACUGCCGGUGACAAACCGGAGGAAGGUGGGGAUGACGUCAAGUCCUCAUGGCCCUUAUAGGUGGGGCUACACACGUCAUACAAUGGCCGGUACAGAGGGUAGCCAACCCGCGAGGGGGAGCCAAUCCCACAAAGCCGGUCGUAGUCCGGAUCGCAGUCUGCAACUCGACUGCGUGAAGUCGGAAUCGCUAGUAAUCGCGGAUCAGCAUGUCGCGGUGAAUACGUUCCCGGGUCUU
Molecule: ribosomal RNA, 475 nt
Filed under: uncultured Allobrachymonas sp.
Lineage: Bacteria; Pseudomonadati; Pseudomonadota; Betaproteobacteria; Burkholderiales; Comamonadaceae
Description: bacterial SSU rRNA
Rfam family: Bacterial small subunit ribosomal RNA
Source: RNAcentral